Molecule: long non-coding RNA, 3111 nt
Organism: Nymphaea colorata (pocket water lily)
Lineage: Eukaryota; Viridiplantae; Streptophyta; Magnoliopsida; Nymphaeales; Nymphaeaceae
Exons: 9
Source: RefSeq, a predicted model, not a curated record
GUUAUUCUUCCCGCUCCUUUUUUCAAGACUCUCGCUCGGAGAGGGUUUGGUUCUAGAAACCCUCGCUUCUCUAGGGUUUUCCUUCCUCGAGCAAGCAACCAUCGCUCAGAAGGAUCCUCAUGAGAGAAUCGAGCAACCCCUCUCUCUCUUUAUAAUUUUAAUCUCUCGAUCUCGAUCAUCUUUGCGCAACUCCCUGUCUCGCUCGAUCUUUUAAUGUUUCCCAAUCGCUUCCACCAUUCUUCAGUCUCAUGUUCGCUGAUCAUUGGAUGCUGUAGCUGGAGACAUGGGGAGAUCGAUCGGCAUCAUCAAUAUUAGGGAUUAGAUUUCCCCUCAGACUGUGAGAAAAAUUGUGAUUCAUUCAGGAAGAACGAGGAGUUGUUCACCCCCACAGACGGAGGAGGUCAACAAGCAACUCGAUCAGAGCCGAAGACCUGGGGAGAUCGAUCGGUAUCAUCACUAUUAGGGAUUAGAUUUCCCCUCAGACUGUGAGAAAAAUUCUGACUCAUCCAGGAAGAACGAGGAGUUGUUCACCCUCACAGACGGAGGGAUCAUGCGGCAGCUCCUCAUUCAUCUCAAGAGACGAAGGAGGUCAACAAGCAACUUGGUCAGUGUAGGAUCUCGCACAGCAGGCUCAAGCCUUAUCUCAAUGGUGUAAAUGCAAAGGGUAUCAAGGACUGUUUGGAUGCUGUUCUCAAAAGGAGACUUGUAUUCAGAGUUGACACUGAACUUGUUGGAGAAGAAUUGCUUCCUCAAUAUGAAGCUGAUAAAAUUGUUGAUGGUGAGCUUAGGUCUCUGCUGCAAUUUCUCUUUGCACGGUAGAGUUGCAACUCUUUGUCCUUCCUUACUUGGGAUUAUAUACUGAAGGGCUUAUACUGCAAGUGAUUCGAGCAAGUUGUAGACUAUGAUGCAUUUCGUUUGAGCAGUAUGACUGAACCAAUGGAGCAUAUGUUUAUAUAGGCAAGGAAGACAUGAAUGCUGCAGAAAAUGAAGGCAAUUCGUGAUGGUGAUCAGAAUAGCAAGGGGCAAUGGAAGUGAACUGUAGAAACUUUGACCAGAAAAUUUACAAAGAUUUAGGAAAAGGUUUGUAGAUGAUGUGUGUGGAGGACAAGUCGGUCAACCAUAACUUGAGGAAAUGCUCAUGAUGGAUAGCACAGGAAACUUAGCUCAAGGAAGUGUUCCUGUUGUUCUAUACUUGAAACUUGCAUGGCAUAGGUGGUCAGCUUGAGUGGUGUACUGUGUACAUUCUUGUGGAUGUUUUUUUGGACCGCAAAUUAUCAUACAUGAAAUUAUGAAACUCAAGUUGAAAGGUGUAUCAUAAGACAACUCAAGUCUCGAAGCAUCUCUAAACCAUGGUGGUAGAGAAAGACGGUGGUCUACCCCUCCAGUCUGCUCACUCUUUUUUUGCAAUUUUGUUAGUAAGAAGAUGCCUGAAAAUUGUGGAGAUUGGCCGUUCUGUUAAGUUGUAGUUUUGGUAGGUCUGGAACUGGUGAGCCCGUGCACUUAUUUCCAGUGUUUAAUUUGAUCUGUUAGUCAUAAACAACGUAUACAGGUGCAUGUUGGACCGACCCACGCCUCACCUGCACAGGUGUGCACGAUUGAGGUUUAUUUAUUAACUUCAGCUUUAGCUUUUUAAAUGCUCCAAGCAGAGCACGAUGGCAGCAGAGUACUGGUGGCUUUAUUGCAGCUUCUUUUCGCAGGUUAUGACUAACAAUACAGCUCUUUAGACAGGCAACUAUAGUUGGCAAACCUAUAUGAUUCGAAGAUCACCAUGUCAAAGAGUUGACAUAGUAACUCGUCCGGGAUAAGUAGUAAAAUCUUAUUUCUUCGAAUAAGGUUCUGGAAUUGCAUUUCAGAAUUUGUAUCCGGGGAUUUCAUUUCAUGGUCUUCAGACUGACCCUUAGGUAAAAUCGAAUUGAAUGCAGUUUGGAGCGGGCGAAAUGUUUAAGAUUCUCUUGAUAGGUUUUACAGGGUUCCAUUCUGGAUUUCUGCGGGAAUAAAAUUAGGUUCUUUUUCUAAUUUUUAGCAUGCUCGAAAAUAGGUCUGUCAAUACAAUUUUAGGGAACUGGUUAUAUACUGAUCUUUUAUUUUUCGGUUCCGCAAAUUCAGGAAAUGGAGGAAUUGAGAAAACGAAAUGGAUAUUCAAAUAAUCAAUUGGUUACCCCGAUUAUCCUAGUUUUAUAUCUCAUGUUUCGUUACACAGUCACUUAUUCGUAAAAAACAAACGACGCAGGAUAACGAUAGUCUUACUUUGUUAUCGCUUCAUAAAUACUUAUCUCUUUUCUUACGGACCUCAAUUCUUUUUUUCUUUCACCGCAGAUAAACUGGAAUGUGGAAUCGCUGAUAACCAACCACUAAGGUUGUGUUUGUUGGACUGAUGCCUGUGGUGACCUCAAAUUCAUGGAAUUAUGGUGGACUGCUUCCCUCUUCCUACUCAAUCCAAGCUUUAAUCCUUGGUUUUCAACAUAAAGCAAUGCUAUUGAGAUCCUUAAUUUGUUUAAACUGCGGAUCUCCUAAAACACACAUUUUUAUGCAGUUUAGGUUCAAGACAAUCAAAUGAUUAUCAAGGCCGAAUAAUAGGUGACUAAACCUAGGUUUUGCUCAUGUUUGCUUCUUUAAUUAAAAUAACAAAAUGAUAGAAAUUUUGACAAAAUCAUCGAAGCAUACGUUUUCGAUUUUAUAGUUGAUAGAAAAAGUGGUAAUAAUUUUUUUGUUUCAUAUAUGUGUAUAGAAGAGUAUAAAUUUUUUUUGUGCGCAUUAGAAAGGAGUGAAUAGACUCUAACCGUGGAUGGCGCAGCUGUGUGGGAGUCUGCGUCUUUUAAUAUCUUAUGGACUGAAAGAUGGUGGAGCAGCCAAAUGAAGAACUGUUGGCGUGGAUGCUGAUGCAGAAGUCAUCAUCAGUGGUGGACAGCAUCUGUUGUGUGGGAAGAAGUGUUGCGCAUCUAAACGUUAGUAGAAUUAUUUUUGGUAAUCGUGGUGUGGUUGUUGUCUGAACGGAAAUCUGCUGUGUGGGAAGAAGCGUUGUCCAUCUACACGUGAGUGAAUUUAUUUUGUAGUCGUGGAGUGGCUGUCAGCUGUGGACAGCAACCUGUUGUGUAUUUUGUAGUCGUGGAG